GGGCCUAGAGACCAGCAACCUUAAUUUGCUAGUAACAAUUUUAUUCAAUUAUACAAAUAUAUGCACCUCCCAUCAACAUUAUCUAUGCAAAACAUUAAAAUAUGGAGAAUUCCCCUUAGGCAGCUACAAGUGACGUGAUUGACGAGAAGAUUUUCCAAUGUUUAAUAAAACAGCAAAGAAAAUUCUGUGAUGACUGCUGAAGACGACGACCAGAAAACAAUGAUAUCUCAACAAUGAGGUUUAACUGCUAAGCUAAUUUACAAAAAUCGAAUAAAAAAAGCCAUAAUUAUUUAACUCUCUUUUUCUUCUUCUUCUUCUUUUACAAUUGCUGAGAGAGAAAAAUUGCCGACUACACCAUUCUUCUCCCUUUGCCUUUGAGUAGAUGAUUUUGAUCCAAAGAGUGAGAAAACAUUGUUUAAAGAUGAAGAUAGCCUAUUUGAAUAGUAGAACACAAUCCAUGGCUCGAAGGAUAGACAAUAACUCACCAAAUUUUAUAUGCCGGAUACUUGGAAACAUGAAAAUAAGUUCCGUCAAUAGAAGACAACCUCAGCAUUGUUGCUACUGCAUUUUGUCAUGAGCUUCUUGCGUUUGGCCAUCUGGGUAAGCUUCUAUGGAGAUUGAAAUAUAGAGAACCUUAAAGGUUGACCUUUCUCUAAAGCCAUAAAUAUACAACCAGCAAGAAACCAAGUGCACAGAAGGGUGGAUAUAGAAGAAACAGACAUUGAUGGAAUAGAAACGUAACCAAAAAAAAAAAAUUCAAAUUAUUUAUCUAAGGAAAAAAAUUUGAGAAUAUAAAAAUGGAGAAAGAUUCAGUAAGAAAUGUAGUAAGAAAGGAGCAGAAGGUUGAUAAUGGAGUAGCCACUGAAGAUAUUGUAAAUAAUUCAAUUGUAAAAGAUA
RNAcentral lists this unclassified non-coding RNA (897 nucleotides) under Hevea brasiliensis (rubber tree). Lineage: Eukaryota; Viridiplantae; Streptophyta; Magnoliopsida; Malpighiales; Euphorbiaceae. The record is from RNAcentral.